CCGGGCGAGUGCAGGGUGAGCUAAAAGAAAGUCCCCGGGUGGAAGAUUCAUUAUUUGCCACCGGAGACUAUGAAAAGGGGGUAGGGCUUACGAAAGGUAGGGGCAGAGCUUACUGCAUGGAGGAGGGGGGGCUAAAAGGCACUGAAGUUGUACUGCACAGAAAAGAAUCCCUGCUUCCACUCCUCCCAUCCAGCCAUAAGGGAAAUAGGGAAUUGUGACUGUACAGUACUGUGUGUGUGUGUGAGUGUGAGAGAGACUGUCUGCCUGUGUGUGUGUGAGACUGUACUCUGUGUGUGACUAUAACAGUGUCUGACUGUGUGUAUGUGUGUGUGACUGUACUCUGUGUGUGAAUGUCUGCUUGUGUGUGUGUGUGUG
Molecule: non-coding RNA, 375 nt
Organism: Pelobates cultripes (western spadefoot toad)
Lineage: Eukaryota; Metazoa; Chordata; Amphibia; Anura; Pelobatidae
Source: the annotation of a GenBank genome assembly